GAUGAAGAACGUAGCGAAAUGCGAUAAGUAAUGUGAAUUGCAGAAUUCAGUGAAUCAUCGAAUCUUUGAACGCACAUUGCGCCCGCCAGCAUUCUGGCGGGCAUCCCUGUUCGAGCGUCAUUUCAACCCUCGAGCCCCCCCGGGGGCCUCGGUGUUGGGGGACGGCACACCAGCCGCCCCCGAAAUGCAGUGGCGACCUCGCCGCAGCCUCCCCUGCGUAGUAGCACACACCUCGCACCGGAGCGCGGAGACGGUCACGCCGUAAAACGCCCAACUUCUUAGAGUUGACCUCGGAUCAGGUAGGAAUACCCGCUGAACUUAAGCAUAUCAAUAAGCGGAGGA
This 342-nucleotide unclassified non-coding RNA is filed under the name soil metagenome. RNAcentral describes it as "partial contains 5.8S ribosomal RNA, internal transcribed spacer 2, and large subunit ribosomal RNA". The stretch from base 1 to 120 matches the Rfam family "5.8S ribosomal RNA", at positions 35 to 154 of the family's 154-position model. The record is from RNAcentral.